AACGAACGCUGGCGGCAGGCCUAACACAUGCAAGUCGAGCGAGGACUCCGGUUCUAGCGGCGGACGGGUGAGUAACGCGGGGGAAUGUGCCCUUCUCUACGGAAUAGCCCUGGGAAACUGGGAGUAAUACCGUAUACGCCCUAUUGGGGAAAGAUUUAUCGGAGAAGGAUCAGCCCGCGUUGGAUUAGGUAGUUGGUGGGGUAAUGGCCUACCAAGCCGACGAUCCAUAGCUGGGUAGGGAGGCAGAUCCGCCACACUGGGAGUGGGACACGGCCCGGACUCCUACGGGAGGCAGCAGUGGGGAAUCUUAGACAACGGGGGCAACCAUGAAGGAGCCAUGCUGCGUGAGUGAUGAAGGCCUGAGAGUAGAAAAGCUCUUUCAGCUGGGAAGGUAAUGACGGUACCAGCAGAAGAAGCCCCGGCUAACUCCGUG
RNAcentral lists this ribosomal RNA (433 nucleotides) under uncultured bacterium. RNAcentral describes it as "partial 16S ribosomal RNA". It matches the Rfam family "Bacterial small subunit ribosomal RNA", at positions 29 to 507 of the family's 1533-position model. The record is from RNAcentral.